UACGUAGGGUGCAAGCGUUGUUCGGAUUUACUGGGCGUAAAGGGCGCGUAGGCGGCAAAUUAAGUCAGCUGUGAAAUCUCCGAGCUUAACUCGGAACGGUCAGCUGAUACUGAUCUGCUAGAGUGCGGAAGGGGCAAUCGGAAUUCUUGGUGUAGCGGUGAAAUGCGUAGAUAUCAGGAGGAACACCGGCGGUGUAGACGGCUUGCUAGACCACCCCUGACGCUGAGGCACGAAAGCGUGGGUAGCAAACAGG
This 253-nucleotide ribosomal RNA is filed under the name uncultured bacterium. RNAcentral describes it as "partial 16S ribosomal RNA". It matches the Rfam family "Bacterial small subunit ribosomal RNA", at positions 524 to 776 of the family's 1533-position model. The record is from RNAcentral.